CAGCAGCCGCGGUAAUACAGAGGGUGCGAGCGUUAAUCGGAUUUACUGGGCGUAAAGCGUGCGUAGGCGGCUAAUUGAGUCGGAUGUGAAAUCCCUGAGCUUAACUUAGGAAUUGCAUUCGAUACUGGGAAGCUAGAGUAUGGGAGAGGAUGGUAGAAUUCCAGGUGUAGCGGUGAAAUGCGUAGAGAUCUGGAGGAAUACCGAUGGCGAAGGCAGCCAUCUGGCCUAAUACUGACGCUGAGGUACGAAAGCAUGGGGAGCAAACAGGAUUAGAUACCCGAGUAGUCCCUGUCUCUUAUAC
RNAcentral lists this ribosomal RNA (301 nucleotides) under uncultured bacterium. Its description in RNAcentral is "partial 16S ribosomal RNA". It matches the Rfam family "Bacterial small subunit ribosomal RNA", at positions 509 to 807 of the family's 1533-position model. The record is from RNAcentral.